Long non-coding RNA from Alnus glutinosa, 990 nucleotides. RefSeq lists it as uncharacterized. The transcript is spliced from 3 exons. NCBI's taxonomy places the organism in Eukaryota, Viridiplantae, Streptophyta, Magnoliopsida, Fagales, Betulaceae. The record is from RefSeq and is a predicted model, not a curated record.
UGCUUCGUAAGAGGAGUAGAUGGCUUUUUUGUUGAUGCUGAUGAGUGGUUAACUUGUUGCUGAGGUUUAUCCUCUAAUACACCUCAGUUCAACCCUUUAGCAACAAAAGCAGCCACCAUAAGUUUGUCAGCAUUUGGACUGGGAGAGCCAUUUGGCUUUGUUAACUUCUCUGAGAAGUGGAAGAAGCAGAAGAAGUCUGAGCCGUCCAGCAAGAGGGAACCCUCUUCUGAGAUAAUUGUUUGAGAUAUUGCAUCAGUGUCAUUCUAUAAACCUCACUUGAAAGUUGUGACAAGCAUCAAUGUAGAGGAAAUAAUUUGACAAGCAACGGUCCAAUCCGGCAACUCACAGAAGAAUAUAAAGGAAAUGUAUCAAAACACGAGGCACUGGGAAAUGCUGGGUUAGAAACAAGAAACUGCCCAAUUGGCAAGACCUACAAAGCAGUGAGCCGUGUUCUCCCUCUCGUGGCAACAGCUCCUCAGCCACCACCUAGUAUGAAGUUUAGAUGCCCUCCGGCUGUAGUUGCUGCAAGUAGGUUAUUAUAGAUUUUUUUUAGUUUAAAUUUGUGUUUUUAUUUUUAUUUUUAUAGACUUUAUUAUAUAAUGGGUCAAACGGGUCGUGUCGUGUCAACUUGUUAUUUAAGUGGAUCGUGUUAGGGUUAAAGAGUCUAACCUUUUUAGUUAAACGGAUCGUGUUAGGGUUGACCCUUAACGGGUUCACGGGUCAAACGAGUUGACUCGAACCCGACAUGCGAACCCAUUUUGAUAGCCCUAGUUGCAAGGGCUGCCCUGUGCAGGAUUGCCCUUGUUAAAAAUUUAUGCCCUCAGCCUCUAUCUGCUAAAACUCAUCAAUCUUGUGAAUAAUCUUUCUAGUGGGAGUCUGUAACGUGAAUGAUUUUACAAAUACUUAGAGUCUGUUUGGGUUUGCGAUUUCAAAAAGUGCGAUUUAAAAUCACGAUUUUAAAAUGUGCGAUUUAAAAAAAGUGAUUUUUAA